Molecule: ribosomal RNA, 774 nt
Filed under: uncultured Neocallimastigales
Lineage: Eukaryota; Fungi; Neocallimastigomycota; Neocallimastigomycetes; Neocallimastigales
Description: partial large subunit ribosomal RNA
Rfam family: Eukaryotic large subunit ribosomal RNA
Source: RNAcentral
AGAGAGAGACAUGCGCGCAUAUCAAUAAGCGGAGGAAAAGAAACUAACUAGGAUUCCCUCAGUAACGGCGAGUGAAGCGGGAAGAGCUCAAAUUUGAAAUCUUAAAGGUUUCCCUUGACGAAUUGUAGUUUAAAGAAGUGUUUUCUGUUGGAGUUUUGGUAAAAGUUCUUUGGAAUAGGACAUCAUAGAGGGUGAGAAUCCCGUAUUUGACCAUUACUUUCAACUUUGUGAUACACUUUCAAAGAGUCGGAUUGUUUGGGAAUGCAGUCCAAAAUGGGUGGUAAAUUUCAUCUAAAGCUAAAUAUUGGCGAGAGACCGAUAGCGAACAAGUACCGUGAGGGAAAGAUGAAAAGAACUUUGAAAAGAGAGUUAAACAGUACGUGAAAUUGUCAAAAGGGAAGCGUUUGACACCAGUGUUGUUUUCUCGAAAAUCAAUUAAAAAAGGCAGGAUUUUGUGUUGUAUUGACUUUAUCAGCUUUCUGCACUCUUUUCUUGUCUUUUUUAAUGCACUUUUCGUUUAACAAGUCAACAUCAAUUUCUUUUGUUGUAAAAGGGUCAUUGGAAGGUGGCUUUCUUUUCGGAGAAAGUGUUUAUAGCCUUUGGCCUCUGCAAUCGGAGAGAUUGAGGUCUGCAGCGUAGAUCCUUCGGGGUUAGAUACAUUUGUGCUAAGUUAUAGCCUUUUCAUAGACAACUUGUUGACUAUGAUCAGUCAUGUAGCUUACUCGCUUAUGCUAUUUUACCUACGCUUAGGAUGUUGAUGUGAUACUGCGAGCA